UACGUAGGGUGCAAGCGUUGCUCGGAAUCAUUGGGCGUAAAGCGCACGUAGGCGGUCUGAUAAGUCGGAUGUGAAAGCCCUCGGCUCAACCGAGGAAGUGCAUUCGAAACUGCCAGACUUGAAUAUGGAAGAGGGUCGCGGAAUUCCCGGUGUAGAGGUGAAAUUCGUAGAUAUCGGGAGGAACACCAGUGGCGAAGGCGGCGACCUGGGCCAAUAGUUGA
This 221-nucleotide ribosomal RNA is filed under the name uncultured bacterium. Its description in RNAcentral is "partial 16S ribosomal RNA". It matches the Rfam family "Bacterial small subunit ribosomal RNA", at positions 524 to 743 of the family's 1533-position model. The record is from RNAcentral.